UGGUAAUAAUUUUUUUUAAUUAAACCUUAAAAUUUUGGCGGCAUUUUAUUUAAUUAGAGGAACCUGUUAAAUAAUCGAUAAACCACGUUAAUUUUUACUAAUUUUAAAAGUUUUUAUACCACCAUCAACAGAAAUAAUUUUAUAUUUAUUCCCAAUAAUUUUAUAAAAAGUUAGGUAAAGGUACAGCUUAUAUUUUAGUUAUAAUGUGUUUCUUUAAAUAAAAUUUAAUACAAACUUAAAAAAUUUUUUUUUAUUAAGAAUUUAAAAGUAAAAUUAUUAAAUAUAAAUUUUAUAAUAAUAUUUUAAUUUGAAUAAAAUUAUAAAUGUGC
This 329-nucleotide ribosomal RNA is filed under the name Anapidae sp. Thailand MR88. RNAcentral's name for it is "partial 12S ribosomal RNA". Lineage: Eukaryota; Metazoa; Arthropoda; Arachnida; Araneae; Anapidae. The record is from RNAcentral.